AGUGCAAUUUCUAUACCAUAUAGUAACUCUUUAACUGUUUGAGAAACUGCUAGAAUGUUUUCUAAAGGAGCUGAGCUAUUUUACAUUUGCAUCAGCAGU
RNAcentral lists this microRNA precursor (99 nucleotides) under Marmota monax (woodchuck). The record is from RNAcentral. Lineage: Eukaryota; Metazoa; Chordata; Mammalia; Rodentia; Sciuridae.